AACGAACGCUGGCGGCAGGCCUAAUACAUGCAAGUCGAACGCUGUAGCAAUACAGAGUGGCAGACGGGUGAGUAACGCGUGGGAAUCUUCCUUGCAGUACGGAAUAACUCCGGGAAACCGGUGCUAAUACCGUAUACGUCCUUCGGGAGAAAGAUUUAUCGCUGCAAGAUGAGCCCGCGUCGGAUUAGCUAGUUGGUGGGGUAAAGGCCUACCAAGGCGACGAUCCAUAGCUGGUCUGAGAGGAUGAUCAGCCACACUGGGUCUGAGACACGGCCCAGACUCCUACGGGAGGCAGCAGUGGGGAAUCUUGGACAAUGGGCGCAAGCCUGAUCCAGCCAUGCCGCGUGGGCGAUGAAGGUCUUCGGAUUGUAAAGCCCUUUUGGCGGGGACGAUAAUGACGGUACCCGCAGAAUAAGCUCCGGCUAACUUCGUGCCAGCAGCCGCCGUAA
RNAcentral lists this ribosomal RNA (449 nucleotides) under uncultured bacterium. RNAcentral's name for it is "partial 16S ribosomal RNA". It matches the Rfam family "Bacterial small subunit ribosomal RNA", at positions 29 to 523 of the family's 1533-position model. The record is from RNAcentral.